This is a long non-coding RNA of Alligator sinensis (Chinese alligator), 614 nucleotides long. RefSeq lists it as uncharacterized. Lineage: Eukaryota; Metazoa; Chordata; Crocodylia; Alligatoridae. The transcript has 4 exons. The record is from RefSeq and is a predicted model, not a curated record.
UGGGAAAGGUGCUGCACAAAAAUUAAUUUUCCUCUCUUUGGUUCCAUUUUAAAAUCAUUUGGGUAACAGAAGAAGUUCCCUGGACUGAGGAGUGACUCAUGCAGCUUGAUGUACAGAAGGGAAAGGAAAUGAGUACUUCGUUCGCAGAUAAUCAAACAUAUGAGAGGGAAGGGAGACAAAGCAUUGCUUCAAGAUCACAGAUUUUGAACCUGAUGCAAAAGUUGGCGAGAAAUGACAAGGAAUAAGAAACCAGACUCAAAAAGAUUUGGACCGGACAAGUAUGAGGCCUCCACAAAGCUUUCUGAUGUGAGAAAAGGUCACAUUCUUCCAGCUUUGAAGAAGCAUGGUGAAUCCUCUUGUCAGACACCUACAUAAUACCUUGCAAGUCCACUGGGGCCCAGAGAGUGAAGAAAACCUGCAGGUGAGGUCUCAGCCAACUCUUCAAGGACUACCAGGAGCCCCUGAUCCACUGCUUGGGAGCUUUGCCAACAGAAGCUGGUGUUUCAUUGACUUCAAUAGAGGUAUUUCUGAGCUGAAUCACUCCCACAGUCAGUAAUUUUAUGCCACCAGAGGAGAGUUGAGUGGGAAUUUCCUUGUUUUUGAAUGCAAUGUCA